UGGGGAAUAUUGCACAAUGGGCGCAAGCCUGAUGCAGCCAUGCCGCGUGUGUGAAGAAGGCCUUCGGGUUGUAAAGCACUUUCAGCGAGGAGGAAGGUGGUGAGCUUAAUACGCUCAUCAAUUGACGUUACUCGCAGAAGAAGCACCGGCUAACUCCGUGCCAGCAGCCGCGGUAAUACGGAGGGUGCAAGCGUUAAUCGGAAUUACUGGGCGUAAAGCGCACGCAGGCGGUUUGUUAAGUCAGAUGUGAAAUCCCCGGGCUCAACCUGGGAACUGCAUUUGAAACUGGCAAGCUAGAGUCUCGUAGAGGGGGGUAGAAUUCCAGGUGUAGCGGUGAAAUGCGUAGAGAUCUGGAGGAAUACCGGUGGCGAAGGCGGCCCCCUGGACGAAGACUGACGCUCAGGUGCGAAAGCGUGGGGCAGCAAACAGGAUUAGAUACCCUGGUAGUCCACGCUGUAAAACGAUGUCGAUUUUGGAGGUUGUGCCCUUGAGGCGUGGCUUCCGGAGCUAACGCGUUAAAUCGACCG
Molecule: ribosomal RNA, 527 nt
Filed under: uncultured bacterium
Lineage: Bacteria
Description: partial 16S ribosomal RNA
Rfam family: Bacterial small subunit ribosomal RNA
Source: RNAcentral